UACGGAGGGGACUAGUGUUGUUCGGAAUUACUGGGCGUAAAGCGCACGUAGGCGGAUUUGUAAGUCAGGGGUGAAAUCCCGGGGCUCAACCUCGGAACUGCCUUUGAUACUGCAAAUCUCGAGUCCGGAAGAGGUGAGUGGAAUUCCUAGUGUAGAGGUGAAAUUCGUAGAGAUUAGGAAGAACACCAGUGGCGAAGGCGGCUCACUGGUCCGGUACUGACGAUGAGGUGCGAAAGCGUGGGGAGCAAACAGG
This 253-nucleotide ribosomal RNA is filed under the name uncultured bacterium. Its description in RNAcentral is "partial 16S ribosomal RNA". It matches the Rfam family "Bacterial small subunit ribosomal RNA", at positions 524 to 776 of the family's 1533-position model. The record is from RNAcentral.